UUUUUAAAUUGGUACAGCUCCACAAUCUCAAAAAAUACUACCUUUAAAAUUUUUUUGAAUGCUGUAUUUAUUUUGGUAGAGUAUUCUGAACAUGUCACUUAUUUAUAGAGGAAUAAUAUUGCAUUAUUUUGAUAACUUUUUUUUCAUAGAACAAAUUAUUCAUUUUAAGGUUACUGAAUUGUUGUGUUGUGAACCUGUUUCCAAUUUAUAACAUUUAGGGGUUCUUCACCACAUCUUAUGUAAUUUAAAUAAAAACUUUAUAGUCUAUAUUUUUCAAGGAGAUAUUUCAGGAGAUCUGUAACAAAUACUUUUACUCAACUAAUUAAGAAAAUCAUUCUUUGCUCACAAACAUAUAGGGUGAAUAUUAAUCUCCAGUUACUUUCGUCAGUUUGGACAUUUUGGAUGAUUUGGCUGUUCUCUUUACACAAAGUGAGGGGAAAAGUAUAAAGAGUUAGAGUACCUAAGUAAGUGAGAACUCUGGACUUCAACCCAGGCAGUUUUGCUCCAGAGCCCACACACUUAACCACAAUACUAUGUUGGCUGAUACUCUUGACCUGGACCCCUCUUCACUCUCUGGUAGUGUUAUAAAUUCAAGCCUAAUUCUUUCUUUUGCCACGAGAGCUUCUUUUCCUACCCAAUCUGGGAUUUAUAAAAUGGAACAAUCUCUUCUCUCCAAUUUGGCACUCAAAAGAAGCUCUGAUAUACAAAAGGUAAGCGUAUUUUUCUGUCAGGAAUAGCUUACCAUUCUAAAAUUUAAAACAAGCAAAAUAGUGGCCCACUGAACCUUCCUCAUUUUUUUCUUUUCUUUGUGUACAAUAAAUACAUUGAAAUUUUACUGGCAUACAAGGUGUAUAUUACUUGAGUCUUUAAAUCAUUGCUCAGUGUUUGUUUUUUCUUUGUUUUAUUUCAGUUGUUUAUUACUUCUUUUAUAUUGGAUUUAAAUAAUUUAGAUUUUAAGCUUCUAAAAGGGCAAAGAAUCUAUUCAGCUUGUGGCUUAACAAUAUCAUGCACAAUAGGUACUUACAAGCUAUUUGAUGUUAUUGUUUCUACUUUGGAAAAAGAGAGGAUCAAUGGAAAGAAAUGAAAAUGGCUGUGCUAUUAAAGAUCCAUGCAAAGUAGUUUUACUAUUUUUGCUCAAUUUUGAGUUUGGGGUUGAUUGAUAUAUUUGUCUAAUGUAUUAUAUCUAGGUACAUCAGACAUUGUUAUUCCAUUUGCUUUCUGUUUUCAAACGUAUUUUAAAGAUCUUAACAGAAGAAAGACUUUUACUAUUUCUGUUGCUCCUCUCGUUUCUAAUGUUUAGGUUUCAUUCUGAUGUCAUAUUUCUUCUCUCUGAAGAACUUCCCUCUAGCAGUUCUUUUAGAGCAAAUCUGCUGACAGUGAAUUUUCUUAGUUUUUCUUCAUUUGAAAAUAUCUUUAUUUCACCUUAAUUCCUGAAGGAUAUUUUUCUUGAAUAUAGGAAUCUGGGUUAACAGUUCUUUUCUGUUAGCAUUUAAAAAUGUCACUGCUUCUUCUGGCCUCUGGUUUCUGAAGAGAGAAACUCUCAGUAAUUUCAGUUUUGUUGCCCGAGAAGUAAUGCAAGUGAAGCUAGGAAUUUGGGUUUUCAGUCAUUAUUUCCUCAAAAACUUCUUUCUAUACCACACUCUCUCCUUUCCUGCUUGGAUUCCAAUGAAGUAAGAUAUCUUGUUAUUUUCCCACAAGUCCCUGAGGGUUGGUUUUAAAAAUAUAUUUUUUUCUCUCUCUCUGUUCAAAAUAGGUAUUCUUUAAUCUAUCUUCAAGAUUACUGGCUGUUUCUCUAUCAUUUUCAUUUGGCUAUUGAUCCUGUCCAACUGGAUUUUCCUUUCGGUUAUUUUAUUUAUUUAUUUAUUUAUUUAUUUAUUUAUUUAUUUAUUUUAGUAUAGCAAAGGUGGAGAUUUGUUGAAGAACAAGUACAGACUCACAUGUGG
This is a long non-coding RNA of Myotis myotis, 1943 nucleotides long. RefSeq lists it as uncharacterized. NCBI's taxonomy places the organism in Eukaryota, Metazoa, Chordata, Mammalia, Chiroptera, Vespertilionidae. The record is from RefSeq and is a predicted model, not a curated record. The transcript has 3 exons.